UGGGAUUAAAGGCAUAUGCCACUAUGCCCAG
RNAcentral lists this non-coding RNA (31 nucleotides) under Rattus norvegicus (Norway rat). The record is from RNAcentral. Lineage: Eukaryota; Metazoa; Chordata; Mammalia; Rodentia; Muridae.